UACGUAGGGUGCUAGCGUUGUCCGGAUUUAUUGGGCGUAAAGAGCUCGUAGGCGGUUCGUCGCGUCGGCUGUGAAAACCUGAGGCUCAACCUCAGGCCUGCAGUCGAUACGGGCGGACUUGAGUACUGCAGGGGAGAUCGGAAUUCCUGGUGUAGCGGUGAAAUGCGCAGAUAUCAGGAGGAACACCGGUGGCGAAGGCGGAUCUCUGGGCCACUACUGACGCUGAGAAGCGAAAGCAUGGGGAGCAAACAGG
Molecule: ribosomal RNA, 253 nt
Filed under: uncultured bacterium
Lineage: Bacteria
Description: partial 16S ribosomal RNA
Rfam family: Bacterial small subunit ribosomal RNA
Source: RNAcentral